GUUAGAUUGGGCCAUGUGCUGAAAUCACCGAGCGCAAAUGGAACUCAUCCUGAAUGCUUCUUAUAUCAGUGAAAUGUUUUAUUCCCUUUCAAAGCAAUCGCCAAAAAAUGUGCCAAAUACAGGAAGGGAGUGAUUUAAGACACUGUUUAAAAAUGGGCGAGAAAAUGGUUUAGCCCUUGUGUCUGUUACAAUGUCCCCUUGCACUAGGGAGUCUGUGGCGCAAUGGGUGUGUCUGGCUGUUCACCAGAAGUUUGGUGGUUCGAGGCCACCCAGGGAUGGCUGUGGGCAGGAUUCCUGCAUAUCAGGGAGUUGGAGCAGAUGGCCCUCGGGAUCUCUUCCAACUCUACGAUUCUAUGAGUGCAGUUAUCCCCAUCUGUGGGAGUUCCUGAGCAUACUAAUUUGUUCUAUAAGUCAAUGUAUGUUAUUGCAGAGUGCUAGCAUGCAGUGAGAGAUUUUACUUUCUUGGGUUCCAUGAUCACUGCAGAUGGUGACAGCAGUCACGAAACUAAAAGACGCCUGCUCCUUGGGAGAAAGGCGAAUUCAAAUCAUGAUUCCACAGAGAAGAGAGCAGAUUCUUAAAUCACAUGUUCUUAUCAUCUUCCUAUGAUCAAAUCUAGAUCUACCUAUGCAUGAUGCAACAAUUAUCAACAUGAGAGUUCCUGUUAUAUCCAAAAUGGCAGAACUUGUGGCAUGACCCAGCCAGUGAAAAGCACUUUUAAGCCCCAUACACAUCAAGAGGGGAGUUGGCAUGUGUUAAAUCGGGAUAGUCCACGGAGAUGAAGCAUUUAUAAGCCUCAGAGUCUACCAAGUUCAAAAACAUCUUGGACAGGAUUUACAACAGGAGCUGUGGGUUACACACUGCAAAAAUUUUAAAGGUUUUCAGUGGUCUUAUGUUAAGAAUGAGAAAACCCAGUCUUUUCAUAAUUUUGACAAGCAGGCAAUUCAAUCUUUUAGGCUUUCUAAUUUACAGUCCAAGCAAAUUAAAUAAUAAAAAGCUCUGACAGUUUUGCUCGAAACUUCAAACAAAAAAAGCUCUGACAGUUUUGCUCGAAACUUCAAACAAUCUUUUCUUCAUGAUUUGGCCCAAUCACGAUUCUAGUAUACUAAGUAAAUAUUGGUAUGUUUCAAAUUUUAUUUUUAUAAAUUUGUGGGCAGCAACUCUAAAAACGAUUUCAAAAAGAGGCUUGUGAAUUUGAAUGCUUUAGUGUGUUGUACUAAUGUAACUUUCUUGGGAUGCAAUUUAUUAGUUCAGGGUCAGGGAAACUGUGGCCCUACGGAUGUUGCUGUGCUACAAAUUCCAUUAUCCCUGACAGCUGCCCAUGCUAGCUGGGGCUGAUAGGAGUCCAACAACAUCGGGAGGGCCACAGUCUCCCACCCCUGUAGUAAUUUGAACUAGUACCUUAUUGAGCAACCAGGUCUAUAAGAGAGCACACAGGAUUCAAAGUCAGCUAUAUUAUAUGCAAAAGCAAGCCUCCUGGCUUUCCCCCACCUCCCGCAAGAGCUGUGUGCUCCUUAAAGGGAGCGCGGCUCUUGGGGGCUUUUCUGGGAGGUGGGGGAAGGGCAGCCCUUCUCCCUCCUCAGGGAAAAGCCUCGAAGAGCCGCACACACGCUCCACAUGGCUCUUUAAAGGGAGUGCUGAGCAGAGCCUCCCGCCUGCAUUCGCUCCAUAAGACGCACACACAUUUCCCCUUACUUUUUAGGAGGAGAAAAGUGCGUCUUAUAGAGCAAAAAAAUACGGUGCCAUAGAAAGAUCGACAUUUUCAAAAGUUAGGGGUCCAUGGCUUGGCAUUUGAAAAACAGGGGGGCUUCAGUUCUUAGUUAAAUGGAAACCACUGAUUUAUAUCAGUGUUUCCCAAACUUGGACCAUCAUCCCUGACCACUGCUCUUGCUAGCUAGGGAUGAUGGGAGUUGUAGUCCAAACACAUGGAGACCCAAGUUUGGGAAACACUGAUGUAUAUGAUCAUACUUUUGGCAGGACCUUGCAGGUUCAUCAGUGUUAGCCUCAUGUACCUAGAGCAUUCCUAUCAGACCCAUGUCUUCCUUUUCUCUUGAAAGCUGCUGAGUGUCUUGGGUACAGUGUUGGCAGUGCUUUGCUCAGGAGCCAUCCUUCCAUCGUCUUCUACUACUUCUUCUUCUUUUAAGCCAGUGCAAUCAGUCCCUCAAAAGCCCAGUGUGGAGGAUUAAUAUUUUAUGCAUGAAAUGUUCCAUGUACAGUAGUGACAUAAUAAGAAGAGGCAUUUUAUUAGUCUGUGCAUGCAAGAAGAAUGGAUUACAGAAACAGGAAGUGUGUAACCACCUGCAUCGAGAUGCCAUUUUAUUAACACCCAGGUUGCUCAUUUUAUGGACAGUGGACUUCAGCCUUUCCAGCUUCCCUUUUUUAAAUAAUCUGAUUUCAUUUUCUUUGCCAAACCCCGUCUGAAGAGGAGCACCCCGUUUGGGUCCUCCUCCUCCUCCUCGCAAUGAAUAUCUUGAGCAGAAAGUAACCCAUGUGGAAAGGCUCUGAGCAAAGAGCUACAGCUGCUGCCACUUACGCUCCAGAGCACAAUUUUAGGAAUUAAUAGCUUCUAAUCCUGAAAAAUAAUAUAGAUACAGAAUGGUGUUAGAUUCCAAGCUGCCAAGAUGAAGUCUCUUGCUUUUACUUCAUAAAUAUGUUUAUAAGAGGAUGCCCUAAUCUCUUUAAGAGUAAGGAGAAGCUGCUGAGAUCCCACUCUGUGUUAGAAGCUGAAGUCAUCAAGCGACUGAAAGCUCUUCACUGACAUUAAGGGCAAACUGUGUUGUUUCUCGAUUUCAAUCAAUCAAUCAAUUUGUUGUGUAUAGCCAAAGGCCUUUACAAUGAACAGCAGAGGACAAGAGCAAGGCUUUCCUCUGAAAUGGCACAACGUAGCCUAUAAAAGUUUACUGCAUCAGAGCCAUAGCUAGGUGAUCUUGCUCCCCUGGCAGAACCAUCCAGAUUGUGCCCCCAAAGUAAAGGUAAAGGGACCCCUGACCAUUAGGUCCAGUUGUGGCCGACUCUGGGGUUGCGGUGCUCAUCUUGCUUUAUUGGCCGAGGGAGCCGGCGUAAAAUAUCCAGGUCAUGUGGCCAGCAUGACUAAGCCGCUUCUGGAGAACCAGAACAGCUCACAGAAAUGCCGUUUACCUUCCCACAGUACCUAUUUAUCUACUUGCACUUUGACAUGCUUUCGAACUGCUAGGUUGGCAGGAACAGGGACCGAGCAACUGAGCUCACCCCGUUGCAGGGAUUCGAACUGCCAUCCUUCUGAUCGGCAAGUCCUAGGCUCUGUGGUUUAACCCACAGUGCCACCCGCGUCCCAUUGUGCCCCCUAGUCAUGGACAAAUUAGCUCUUCUUUCUGCCUCUCCUCCACCCCCCCAUUCAAUUCACCCUCCAUUUAAAACCAUUUCUUAUGAGGCAAUCAUCAAUAUUUAUAUUUUUGGAUAUAUUUUUAAGCCGAUUUUGCGUCCCUCCCAUUGCCUGCACCCCUGGCGGUGCCCCAACACACCACCCCCUAGCUACAGCUCUGUACAGCAUAAAUGUUUGAAAGCAUUAGCGUAGCUGGAACCGAUCUUCUUAGGUAACGGAGCAAAUUUGGCUACCAGGUGUGUAAUUUGUAGAUCUUUAUUAGCUAAGAGUUCAACAUUCACUUCCUGGGGGGAUCGGCCUGAGAACCAGUUGAGAAUAGGCAAUAGAAUUUUUUUAUCUGGGCAUUGUAUAUUAGGGGCAAAUUAGCAGGUAGUGCACAAUAUCCUCAACCUGAUUGCAUCCAUAACUGGGAAGACAAUUAGAAGAUGCUUCUUCGGUGUCGAUAAGAAUCCAAUCCUGCUCCUGCCAUUUAACUUCAGGGACUCAUAAAUAUUUUGUGCUUUGGUCAAUGUGAAUGAGCUCGCUGCCCUCGUUUCAAAAUUACAGGCUGCCAAAGACUCUUCCAUUGAUAAUGGACUUUCAACAAACUACUUUCUUGCCUAUAGAAAGAAAGUUGCAAGCCCAUCCCAUGAAGACUAAGUGCUGAAACCAUUCAACAGUUGCAGAACAUGAAUAAUAAGACUCCUUCCCCACCUGUGCGGUGUAUUCUGCUGCCCAAGUGUUGGGACACUGGAAGUUGGGAUGCAUGUUCUAUUAUAUACUUGUUGUUGUUGUUUAAAUGCUAGGAUCAUUUGAAUGAUCAAAAAAAUCCUCCAAAAGCAAGAAACUUAAUACACACUUUAGUACCUGGGUUUUUGUAGAAAAUCAAAUCAGGCGAAGAGAUUGCUCUUCCAAAACACAAAAAAGCUCUCCCAAAUGUGUACUGAGGAACAACUUCCACAGAAUCUAUUGACACCUCAUUCCCACCCCUUUCUUCUUAGGGUAAACUAUGGCUGCAUUCAGACGUAACUUUUCCCCACUUUUCUGAUGUUUCCUUACCUGAUAAAUUCCAUGUUUUAUCUGAUCGUAAAAGCCACUUCUGGAAAUCUGGGGGGAUCCAGCAGAAGUUUAGGGCUCAUUCUGUUUUACUUGGUUUGAGUGGGGGGGGGAUCUGUUAGCCUCCCUGUUAACGCAUUGGGGAGUUUUGUGCUGUAAUUCUCCUGCCAUUUUCAUGGAUCAUGCUGUUGUUGUUGUUUAGUAGUUUAGUCGUGUCCGACUCUUCGUGACCCCAUGGACCAGAGCACGCCAGGCACUCCUGUCUUCCACUGCCUCCCGUAGUUUGGUCAGACUCAUGCUGGUAGCUUCGAGAACACUAUCCAACCAUCUCGUCCUCUGUCGUCCCCUUCUCCUUGUGCCCUCCAUCUUUCCUAACAUCAGGGUCUUCAUGGAUCAUACCAUGUGACAAAACUGGGUUCAGUAUUGCAACAGUUAUUUCUGUCUAUGUUCAUGGGUAAACCAUGGUGGAACAGAAGCAUGCUUGCGCAUAAACAUCCAGUUAUGUCCGCUGUUGUGUCACACCACACCUAUUGGUGUGAAUUAAAUUUAGUGCAACAGCAUGGUGUCUUGGCAAUCAAAAAACUAGAGUUCCAUAAUGCAAGUGUUAAUGCAGUGUAAAAGGAACAUUGGAAACUGGUCCAGAAGCACUAGAAUUGUAACCAGGAAAGCUAAAACAGCAACAGCAGAAGGCUGAUCGCUGAAGAAUUGAUGCUUUUGAAUUAUGGUGCUGGCGGAGACUCUUGAGAGUCCCAUGGACUGCAAGAAGAUUAAACCUAUCCAUUCUUAAGGAAAUCAGCCCUGAGUGCUCACUGGAAGGGCAGAUCGUGAAGCUGAGGCUCCAAUACUUUGGCCACCUCAUGAGAAGAGAAGACUCCCUGGAAAAGACCCCGAUGUUGGGAAAGAUGGAGGGCACAAGGAGAAGGGGACGACAGAGGAUGAGAUGGUUGGACAGUGUUCUUGAAGCUACCAGCAUGAGUUUGACCAAACUGCGGGAGGCAGUGGAAGACAGGAGUGCCUGGCGUGCUCUGGUCCAUGUGGUCACGAAGAGUCGGACACAACUAAACAACAACAACAACAACGAAACAGCAACCCCCAUGUCUGAAUGAAGCCUAUAUGCAGUCAUAGAAUAGUAGAAUUUUAGUUCUGGAAGGUACAUCAAAGGUCACACAAUGCAAUUCCCUGCAAUGCAGCUGCAGUUCCUUCAGCUUCUCCUGGUAUGUGCCCAAUCGCAUCCCACCACAAAUGGAGAUGUUUGUGCAGCUACUUCCCAUAACCCUUAUCAUAGCUCCACUGAAUUGUUGGGGAUGGCAUUGUGGAGAACAUGGCUUCACCUUUGUUGUAGACAGCAUGAUUUUGGCCAACUGGGUGGCACAUGAUGGGCAUUCUAGAUUAUGCAAGGAAGAUCUCAAAGGAAAAUGCACACACAGAAUGUUUGCCUUCAUAGGUAAAGGUAAGAAACACCUGCAUGGAUCUCUGGAUUACAUCCAGGUUUGAACAACCACCUUACUGUGUAAAACACCCUUCCCUAGACUAGGGACUCCAGAUCAUGGAAAUAUAGAAUUGUAGAGCUGGAAGGGACCAAUCCCCUGCAAUGCAGGAAUCUCAGCUAAAGCAUCCACGACAGAUGAUGGAUUACAAUUUUCAUGAAAUUCUACUCAAUAUUAAUUCAGGGUAGAUUCCAGUGUAUAGUUAGCAGAGUAAAAACUGAAAUAUGUUGCAGGAUUCCCCCCAAAAUACAUCAGAGGCAACAGCAAUUCAUCCAGCAGAGCUUUAUUGCUACUGAAGGCAAAUGAGCAUAAUGGUCACAAAUCCAAUUCAUUCAGGAUUGACACUGUCCAUAAGAAAUCCAGUUGCAGCAGACUUAACUUAAACUUACAAUAAUGUAUAAUAUGUCUAAACCUUAAUACUAAGCAUACUAUGUACAGAACACCACACCAGCAGGAAGAGAGAUAGAAAGAGAAAAUGAAACCCAGACUCCUUCUGGCCUUACUUUUAUAGUCAGCACGACCUUCACAGAAAGAGAAGAGAACCAGUUUAAGCCAGCUGUACUCAACUUCUCUGAAGGAAUAACCCAAACAUCAGGAACCUUCUGCUUGUUUCUUUCACACAGAGAAGCUUCCAGAACCCUCUUGAAUCAAGUAGAAUAGGAAAGAUCUCUACACAUCAGGUCAAUACUUUCUGUACUAAGAAAUGCAAACUGACACAUUUCUCACCAGCCCCACCCGUGGGAGCUGUAGUCCAGAACAUCUGAGAGGGGCUGCUUUAAAGCAAAUGUUUGUCAGAUUCUAGAAAGAUUACCUUUUCGCUACCUCCAACCUCCCUUUUGUCACUUAGAACAGGCUUCCUCAAUCUCGGCCCUCCAGAUGUUUUUGGCCUACAACUCCCAUGAUCCCUAGCUAGCAGGACCAGUGGUCAGGGAUGAUGGGAAUUGUAGUCUCAAAACAUCUGGAGGGCCAAGGUUGAGGAAGCCUGAUUUAGAAGAAAUGAACAGGAUAGGAUGCACUGGAAAGCAAGGGAUAGCAUUGUCUCAAUGCAACAUCAGUUAAUCUCCCUGGCCACAAAAUCAGGAUGAAUGCUCAGUCAAUACGACACCUGGAAGCAAGCUAGAUGUAGAUGUGCAGUCCCAUCUAGAAUCACUAGUUGUUGCACGUGGAUAGUUUCACAUCACAAGAGCUGGAUGAGGACCUUUGAUCUUGGCUGUGGUAUUUCCUCAUUGUUUUCAUUUUUGCAACAGGGCAGAAUUGUACGUGAGAGAGUUCUCCAGAGGUGUGCCCCAUCACUGAAAUGCAGGAGUGAUAACUGUCAGUGAUCUUUGCCAUUGACCUUGGCUUUGUCCAGCGUGAGUUUUCCACUCUUCACUAAACAAAAAAUUAAAAAUUAAAGCAAGGCUGUUGCUUUGUAGCUUUCGGUAACAUGGACAUAGUAUGACGUGAGGCUGUCAAGGCUUUUUAACAAUCAUUAAAACCUUCCCCUGAGGGAUAUUUUCAAUCAGACUGCAUUACACUCAGAGCGGACUUUGUGUGUUGAAACUUCACUUGCUUGUCACAGGGAAGCAUCAGAAAUGAGCUGCCUGUAAUGUUUAUGGUCCAUUCAGUGAAUUUGCUCUACAUCAUAAUAAUCCUUCAUUUCACAGGGAAGGUAUGCCGUCAGUGCUGGGCUGUUGAAAGCUGAGACCCUCUGGAUUUUAACAAGAAUCUAUGGAGCACCCAAAAGUGAAGUUGGGCCUUCUUGCAACUAUAAACCUCAGGUCCUUCAUUUUGACCAAACUUGCUGCACACAUUUAUUUUUAGCUUAAUUGAAGCAUAACCCAUUCCCCUGAAUAAAAACAUUCAAAGCAAAUACCUUCUCUCCUUGCCCC
Molecule: long non-coding RNA, 7752 nt
Filed under: Podarcis lilfordi (Lilford's wall lizard)
Lineage: Eukaryota; Metazoa; Chordata; Lepidosauria; Squamata; Lacertidae
Source: RNAcentral